RNAcentral lists this small RNA (577 nucleotides) under Pan troglodytes (chimpanzee). RNAcentral's name for it is "processed transcript". The record is from RNAcentral. Lineage: Eukaryota; Metazoa; Chordata; Mammalia; Primates; Hominidae.
GUGGCCGGCUAGAGCCGGGGGCUGGGCGGGGACCGGGCUUGUCGGUGAAGCGGCAGUGGCGGCGGCGGCGGCGGCUCGGCAGGCGGGUUCAGGCUUCGGGGGCCAGCCGCCGCCAUGAUCCUGCUGGAGGUGAACAACCGCAUCAUCGAGGAGACGCUCGCGCUCAAGUUCGAGAACGCGGCCGCCGGAAACAAACCGGAAGCAGUAGAAGUAACAUUUGCAGAUUUCGAUGGGGUCCUCUAUCAUAUUUCAAAUCCUAAUGGAGACAAAACAAAAGUGAUGGUCAGUAUUUCUUUGAAAUUCUACAAGGAACUUCAGGCACAUGGUGCUGAUGAGUUAUUAAAGAGGGUGUACGGGAGUUUCUUGGUAAAUCCAGAAUCAGACAGUCUCAUUCUGUUGCCCAGGCUGGAAUGCAGUGGCACAGUCAUAGCUCACUGCAGCCUCCUCCAAAUCUUGGGCUCAAGCAAUCCUCCCGCUUUAGCCUCUCCAGUAGCUGGGAACUACAGGCACAUGCCACCAUACCCAAUUAAUUUUUUUAAUAUUUUGUAGAAACAGAGUCUCACUGUCUGCUGCCCAG